AUGACGAGACCGAAGAGAGGAGGGGGCAUUGGCUUUAGAGAUAUGGCUAGUUUUAAUCAAGCCUUGCUGGCUAGGCAAGGGUGGAGAUUGCUACAGAACCCGGACAGUCUUUGUGCAAGAGUGCUCAAAUCCAAGUACUAUCCAAAUGGCGAGUUGUUGGACACGGUCUUUGCCUCAGAUGCAUCAUAAUCAUGGAAAGGCAUUGAGUUUGGGCUUGAACUCCUUAAGAAGGGACUUAUCUGGCGCGUUGGGAACGGGAAAAAUAUCCAAAUCACAAGAGAUCAAUGGAUUCUGAGAGGAGAGGGCCUUAAAGUGGCUAAACCCUCAGGGAGGACGAGGAUCAGAUGGGUGAACCAACUCAUAGACCCCACCAGUAGGAGCUGGAACCAAGAGCUUGUUCACAGGAUCUUUAGCCCUUUCGAUGCAACGGAAAUCCUUAAGAUCAGGAUUCCGCAAAGAGAAGUGGAAGACUUUGUUGCAUGGCAUUAUGAAAAAAUGGGUGUUUUCACGGUCAGGAGCGCGUAG
RNAcentral lists this ribosomal RNA (525 nucleotides) under Triticum aestivum (bread wheat). Its description in RNAcentral is "partial small subunit ribosomal RNA". Lineage: Eukaryota; Viridiplantae; Streptophyta; Magnoliopsida; Poales; Poaceae. The record is from RNAcentral.